This 467-nucleotide ribosomal RNA is filed under the name uncultured bacterium. RNAcentral describes it as "partial 16S ribosomal RNA". It matches the Rfam family "Bacterial small subunit ribosomal RNA", at positions 28 to 507 of the family's 1533-position model. The record is from RNAcentral.
GAUGAACGCUGGCGGCGCGCCUAACACAUGCAAGUCGAACGAUAACAGCAACUUCGGGUGUGCAUAAAGUGGCGAACGGCUGAGUAACACGUGGGCAACCUGCCCCUUUCAUUGGGAUAGCAACGGGAAACCGUAGAUAAUACCGAAUACCACAAGACUUCCGCAUGGAAGACUCGAGAAAGCUCCGCCGGUGCGGGAUGGGCUGGCGGCCUGUUAGCUUGUUGGAGGGGGAGCGGCCUACCAAGGGAAUGACGGGUAACUGGGUUGGGAACAGGAACAGCCAGAUUGGGACUGAGGCACGGCCCAGUCGCCUACAGGGGACAACGGGGGGAAGUCUUACGCAGUGAGCGAGAGCGUGUGACGGCGACGCCGCGGGCGUAAAGUAGGCCUUGGGGUUAUGAACCGCUUUCAGCUAAUACGAUGCGAAAGUGACGGUACCUGCAGAAGAAGCCCCGGCUAACUACGUG